UUGGAGACACUAUUCCCAGACUCCCUCUUGCGUUACUUUGGAGUAGUUGUUGUCUGUUGGGUGAUGUCUGUACAGGGAUUUCAUGUAUACUCAUGUGAAUAGAAAGACGUUCUUGCCUCACAGGCCCUCUUCCCAAUUUUCAUUUUCUUCCCUUUAAUAUUUAUUUAAUAGGACCAUGAAAUCACUGUGAGUUCAAAUUUGAUAGAGCCUUUAAGCCUUUUUUCUUGCGAAAGAAGGCCAUGGGUAUAUGUUUCGUUAUAUUGUGAUAGAACCUAGUCUACACUUAUCUAAAGAUGCUUGAUUUUGAUUAUUUUCUUUAAGGAGUCCAAGAUCGGAUUGUUUAUCGUACUAUCUAUAUCUAGUCUUUUCCUUCUCUAUU
This 379-nucleotide long non-coding RNA is filed under the name Capsicum annuum. Its description in RNAcentral is "long non-coding RNA (CANN_LNC016258)". Lineage: Eukaryota; Viridiplantae; Streptophyta; Magnoliopsida; Solanales; Solanaceae. The record is from RNAcentral.